Molecule: long non-coding RNA, 218 nt
Filed under: Daucus carota (carrot)
Lineage: Eukaryota; Viridiplantae; Streptophyta; Magnoliopsida; Apiales; Apiaceae
Description: long non-coding RNA (DCAR_LNC006723)
Source: RNAcentral
AGAGUUUGAAACUCUUCCACCAGUCCCUGCUUGAAAUCUUUUGUGCUUUGUAAAAUCAUCAGCAUCAUCAUCAUCAUCCUUUUUCUUCCUUUUCAGAGAUUGAGUAGUAGACUUGCAUUUGACUUGAGCUACUCUCUCCCCCUUUUUGACAUCAUCCUCAUCAGGAAUCAGAAUGGAUGUGAUCAGAGAAAGUGAAGUUUGGAUAGCUUCAAGCUGUU